RNAcentral lists this ribosomal RNA (751 nucleotides) under uncultured bacterium. Its description in RNAcentral is "bacterial SSU rRNA". It matches the Rfam family "Bacterial small subunit ribosomal RNA", at positions 8 to 793 of the family's 1533-position model. The record is from RNAcentral.
AGGGUUUGAUCCUGGCUCAGAACGAACGCUGGCGGCGUGCUUAAUACAUGCAAGUCGAACGAGAACUCAGAGCUUGCUCUGAGGGACAGUGGCAGACGGGUGAGUAACGCGUGGCAACCUACCUUUCGGUACGGAACAACAGUUGGAAACGACUGCUAAUACCGUAUACGUCCUCCGGGAGAAAGAUUUAUCGCCGAUAGAUGGGGCCGCGUUAGAUUAGCUUGUUGGUGGGGUAAUGGCCUACCAAGGCGACGAUCUAUAGCGGGUCUGAGAGGAUGAUCCGCCACACUGGGACUGAGACACGGCCCAGACUCCUACGGGAGGCAGCAGUAGGGAAUAUUGGACAAUGGGCGAAAGCCUGAUCCAGCAACGCCGCGUGAAUGAUGAAGGCCUUAGGGUUGUAAAAUUCUUUCGCUAGGGAAGAUAAUGACUGUACCUAGUAAAGAAGCCCCGGCUAACUCCGUGCCAGCAGCCGCGGUAAUACGGAGGGGGCUAGCGUUGUUCGGAAUUACUGGGCGUAAAGCGUGCGUAGGCGGACUAUUAAGUUAGGGGUGAAAUCCCGAGGCUCAACCUCGGAACUGCCUCUAAAACUGGUAGUCUUGAGUUCUGGAGAGGUAAGUGGAAUUCCUAGUGUAGAGGUGAAAUUCGUAGAUAUUAGGAGGAACACCAGAGGCGAAGGCGGCUUACUGGACAGAUACUGACGCUGAGGCACGAAAGUGUGGGGAGCAAACAGGAUUAGAUACCCUGGUAG